Molecule: non-coding RNA, 843 nt
Organism: Gasterosteus aculeatus aculeatus (three-spined stickleback)
Lineage: Eukaryota; Metazoa; Chordata; Actinopteri; Perciformes; Gasterosteidae
Source: RefSeq, a predicted model, not a curated record
UUAGUGUUUUUUACUCACCGGGUUACGGGUUAUUCAAUUGAAAAUGUGCUUAAUAUCAUAUUUUUCUGCGGAAACUGCAUAAUUAGUGCAGCUGAUGUCAAACAUGAUGUAGAAUAUGUUUCGAUCCCCUAGGUGGCAUUAAUUGCCAUUAUAUGUCUGAAGAGUGGCUCACGGCUAAAAAUAAGCAUUCUGCCAUUGCAGCAAUAAACACACGUGGUUAUGUGCAUGGAUUAGUACAACCAACAGUGGGAUAUUCAUAGACAUCUUUACAGAUUUACACUCUGAAAAUGGUAAAAAGAAGGAACGGUCCAACGUGAACUCAGUUCUCACAGUCAACUUGACAGGACUCGCACAUUGUGUGAAUGUCCCAUGUUGUUGAUCUUUAAUUUAAAUUGUCACAGUUUUUCUAAAGCGACUGUACCGCCUGAUCUCGAGGACUGAGGAGAACCUUGAAGAAUAUCGCCAGACUUCAGUGUCCAGUAGACAAGCAGAAGCUGAAGGUCUGAGGAGGCUGUGAGUGUGAAAUAUUUGACACAUGCAACACAACAAGGCAUCACACCGGUAACACCUUUCCUAACACCAGAAGACUGGCAGCUUAAUGCAACACUUAUUGAUUAUUUAUAUCAUAUGACUGGAAAGAUUUUUCAAGGCGCCAUCUCUUUAACUUUAUGCUUUCCAGGAGGAGCUGGCCAACGCUCCCCUCUCCAGGUACACGAAGGUGCAACAUGAGACAGCUGACAUCGCUGAGUCUCAGUUGAAAAAGCUGUGAGAGUGUCAGGAUAUUUUCGCCUGUACAGCAAGGAACUUCUGUAUCUUUACAUCUUAAUAAAGUGUGUAACCGGU